Molecule: long non-coding RNA, 5116 nt
Organism: Eriocheir sinensis (Chinese mitten crab)
Lineage: Eukaryota; Metazoa; Arthropoda; Malacostraca; Decapoda; Varunidae
Exons: 7
Source: RefSeq, a predicted model, not a curated record
AAGUUAUCCUUUGGGUGACGUUCUUUCUGGUGGUCAAAUCUUGCAUCCAAUUUCCUAUCGUCCAUUCUCUCUCUUCCUCCUCCUCCUCCUCCUCCUCUGGCUAUCUUCGUCCCUUCCUUCCUUUUAAUUAAUGUCUAAGUUAUCUUUUGCUCAAGGUUCUUUCCAGUGUGUUUGUGGUGCCCGGCUCUGCUUGCUAGUAUGUUUUGUCACUGUAUAAUUGUCAAUCCUAGUUUUUGUCACUGUAUAAUUGUCAAUCCUAGUUUUUGUCACUGUAUAAUUGUCAAUCCUAGUUUUUGUCACUGUAUAAUUGUCAAUCCUAGUUUUUGUCACUGUAUAAUUGUCAAUCCUAGUUUUUGUCACUGUAUAAUUGUCCGUCCCAGCCAGGCGCUUCUUCCAUGUAAAGAUAUUGGCAGCUUCAAGCCUUGCCGAUAUCUCAAUCCGUACGUGAAUGUAAAUUAACCGAAAUCCUUGUUACUAAGCCCUGCACGGUGCUCUCUCACAUAAUGCUUCUUUAAAUUUUCAGUCUCACUUAACUUCCGGGGUUAGUAAUAUAUUUUGCCAUGAGUUAACUCCCCGUGAUGGCCAGUUUCAUGUACUAUAUAUAAGUAAUUUGCCUUUUGCAUGGCUAUAAUUCUGCAUCCGUGUCUAAGGCCCAGUUUCACAGUUCCUCAUGAUGGGUUAGUAAGCUCCGAAACCAAUACCAGAGCCUUCGAAAUUUCCUUGUACUGUGUCUGGAGUUUAUAUUCAAGUUCACAAAUUUGAGGAGACUAUUCAGGAAAGGUCUUGUAUAUUUAUGCUACGAAGGAAAGGGAGGAGAAGGGAGAUGAGAUUGGGAGACGAGUGAGCCGAGAUCCUGUUUAUAUUAAAGUUCACAAAUUUGACAAGACUAUACAGGAAAGGUCUUAUAUUGUCAUGAUACGAAGGAAAGGGAAGAGAAGGGAGAUGAGAUUGGGAGACGAGUGAGCCAAGAUCCUGUUUAUAUUAAAGUUCACAAAUUUGACAAGACUAUACAGGAAAGGUCUUGUAUUGUCAUGAUACGAAGGAAAGGGAAGAGAAGGGAGAUGAGAUUGGGAGACGAGUGAGCCGAGAUCCUGUUUAUAUUCAAGUUCACAAAUUUGACAAGACUAUACAGGAAAAGCUGUGUUUAUGAUAUGAAGGAAAGGGAAGAGAAGGGAGAUGGAGUAAGCUGAGAUCCUGUUUAUAUUCAAGUCCACAAAUUUGACGACACAAUACAGGAAAAGCUCUUUGUAUUUAGUGUGUCAUCGAAGACCGCGCCAUUUUGAACAGUAUGGGAUUCUAUAGCUUGGUUCGGGAGUGUUACAAAGAUUGUGAUGGACUGUGGAUGCGGCCCUUAAUGUUCCCUUUUCUAAUAUGCCUCUCUGUUUUUGCAGGAUGCCGCGGACGGACCAUGCAGAGGACUCAUCGCGACGACACCAACGGUUUGGUUAAGUGGGUUCUCUUGUGUGUGCGUCUGUGUGUGAAUGGCAGGCCUGUCGUAUGAUUGUGUGUGUGUGUGCGUUGGCGGUAUGCCUUCGCACUAUUAUUUUGUUAGGAUGUAUUUUUUGUGUGUGAACUUUUUGCACGUAAUCUUUUUUUAUACCCAUAGCUAGCGUUUGUUUGUGUGGCAGUGUUCCGGGAGAUGGACGCCGGGGGACAUGGGCUUGGGGGGGCGCACAUGACCUCCUCUGUCCGUGACCUCUUCAGCUGGGGAGACCGCGUGUUGCCCCGGCUGGAGAGACACGUUGAUGGAGAAGGCCGCGUGUGUCAUCCCUUGCCUGUAUCCUCUGGCGCCCAGAGGCGCGUAAGUGGAGAGCAUCGGCGCAGCGCGGGAGCAGCACGUCAGGGUGUAGGGUGUUUGUUUAGCUGGUGUAGGGUGUUAGGGUGUUAGGUGUAACAACGGUUGGCUCUUUCACAGAACGGGUGUGAUUCCGUUCUGCGUUUGAGUCUUCCACCUUCAGGCGGUCUCCCUCCGAGAUGUCUGAAGUUUUUUUUGUCGGUUUUCUCCGUAGGAGGAAGCCGACUCUAGCUACUCUGGCCUCUCUUCCGGGGGUCAGAGCGGUCGGGCUCUGCUUGGCCAGGCGUGUUCUUUCGCGUUGUCUCCGCCGACGUUUUGCCAGACUCUUCCGUACGGUUGAGCCUGGCUUUUUUAUUAGGUGGAUCAGGCUGCCUUCUUCCAAGGAGUCUGAUGGGAGUGGAGUCUUUUUUUUGGUGUAUGUCUGUGGGUGCUCAGUGGGUAAGGGAGGGUGGGGUAGAAUGGUUGGUGGGCUGGAAGUGGGUUGGGGGAUGAACCUUCUGGGAUUUGGGUUGUGUCGAGCCUUACCGCCUGGUGUGUUGGGUACACCUUCACGCCAGGGGGGGGGUGCCAAGACUAUAUCCAUCUCCUGGGCAGGGCGAUUCCCCUUUCCCAUGCUAACUGGCCCUCCUCCGUCUGCCUCCCCAAACCCCCGCUGAGUGCUUGUGUGUUAUUUUUAUUUAGGAUGUCUUUUUUUUGUAUGCCUUUUUCCCGUGUGUUUAUACCCAAUAGCUAGCGUGUGUGUGUGUGGCAGUCCGGAGGCGCGAGGCAGCGAGGACAUCACUUCACGUCACUACGGUAUAUCCACGGUAUUUGGUUUAGUGUGUGCUGUGUGUGUGUGUGUGUGUGUGUGUGAUGGCAGGCCUGCCGUGUGUUUGACCUUUUGCUGUGUGUUGCUGUGUGACUGCUAGGAUUUCAUUUCUAUGCAUGUUUUUUUUCCCCAUAACCCCCUUCCUCCCUAGCUCUUUAGCUGUUGUCCCUGGCGAGGCGCUGGGUGGAUGCUGCCGGGCGAUCAACGGCGGUGGCGGUGUGCAACGCGGGAGCAGCUGAGGUUUAGGUAGCACUACGGUGCAGGUUAUGUAGGGUGUGUGAGUUUUUUUUUUGUGUGAGUGUCUUUUUUUUGUGUGGGGUGUUGGCGGGGGACUUAGCUAAUCACUGUGUCAGGAAGGCAUGGGCGUGGCCGUCUGUCCAUCAGGCCGACGGGCGGGUGUGCCACCUGGCAGUCAGGCUAGCAGGUGACAGGCAAGCUAUCUGGUGGUCAGGCUGUCAGUCGGGCCAUCAGAUAGGUAGGCAGGCCACCUUGCGGUCGGGUUGUCGGGCGGGCACCCCACCCUCGGUCAGGUAGGCAGGCAGCAGCGUCUACGCUGAGCCGUACGGCCACACGUACGAACGCACGGAACCCGUACGCUACGUUCCGCCGCACUGACGCUCGUCGUACCUCUGCUCGCACGCUUGCGGGCGGGUGGAGGGCGGGGGGCGGAUGGGCGGACGGGCGGGCGUACGUGGGAACGGGCGGGCGGACGGGUGGUCGGGCGGUUAGGGAGUCGGAGCAACGCUUGAAAGACGCGCAGAUAGAUGUCAGAUUCUCCCGUAGGGAGGUCUGGCAAGGUGAUAGUUUAGGCGGCGGAGUUGUACGCGGGCCAGUCUGUGUUACAGCUUUGCCGUCAGGGUAGCUCCUUACGAGCUGCCCAAACUGAGGACCAGUUUUCCUCACAGGAGGAGGCUGGUGGGGCCUAGGGUGUUAGGGGUACAACGGUUGGCUCUUUCACAGAACGGGUGUUUUCCGUUCUGCGUUUGAGUCUGCCGCCUUUGGGCGUCUCCCUCUGAGAUGUCGGUUAGGAUUUCUUUUUUUUAUAUGUCCGUGUGUGUAACUGUUGCCUUUUAGCCUGUUGUGUUCCUGAGCAGCAAGAAGAGGCGGCUGUGGUGACCCGCCCGAUGCGGAAGGCUUCUGGGCCCUGUCGGCGGGGGCGCACCUCUCUGACUGACUGGUUGAGGGAGGGCUUCCCGUCUGGCCGGCUGCAGGUUCGGUCCCAGGAUUGAACCCACGGCUUGCCAGAUGGAGGGCUGCUCCAUUGACCAGGUGGCCAGGGAAGCGCAUCCUCGCUGGGCGGGGUCUGGGGGCCCUCCGUCUUGGGGAGGUCGCUGCAGCAGGAGGAGGUAACUACUGCUGGUUUUGUAAGGCAUUGUGGUUGAGAGCACCUUGCAGCUGUAACGCGAAUUUCGUUCCGUAAUAAACAAUGUACCGCCAUGCUGCCUGUCCUUCCUCCCUCACUGCACUGUGCGUACGUGUGUGUGUGUGUGUGUUGCUCUGUCUCUGUCUCUGUCUCUCUCUCUCUCUCUCUCGUUAGUAAAGAACAGGCAACAAGAAACCUCCACGGCCGAGCUUCAACAACAGAACACCUCGUCACCGUUGAUGAGGCUCCACGCCCCGGCCCACAGCCAUGUUAGCCUCGAUAAUAGUCCUCGGCGCACUUAUUCUGAGACGUCCUGGUGAGCUGGAGAGCUACACAACACCGGUCAUCCGCUGAGUGGUUGAAUUCCUGGUCUACCGGCCCCUAGAGGAGUGGUCGAUUGCCUGGUCUACUGUGGAUAUGAGUGGUUGAUUGCCUGGUCUACCCCUGGAUGACGCGGCUGUUCCUAUGCAGGGGAGGACUCUCACAAGCGAUAAGCACCUGUCGGAUCUGGAGACUCCCCCCUGAGCCUGACGGAGCUGUGGGCCCUGCACCAGACCCCCACACCCCCCCACACCACCCACAGCAGGGGCAGGGCGUUGAGACUCCCCCCACAGGCUAAGACAGGGAGGGACUUGAAGAUCCAGGUUUUUGUCAUCUGCACAGGAAUUGACACAUGGUAUUUGGGAGCAAUGUCUAAGGUUCCGCCCAUGCAGCUGAAGGGUGCCAAUGCCUGCAUCGACCACAGGUGUGCGCUGGACAUUGCCUACAAUUCAUGGUGCAAAUGGGAGCGUCGGCGGAGAUCGAGCUGGCUGAAGGUUGGCGGCCGGGUCAAGCUCGCCUCGGACAAGGAGUUCUGUGAGAUGUGCUCGGCCGAUGUUGUUGACCUCGGCCACAUCAAUGUUACUAAGGUGGUGGAGGUGUGGAAACUACAUCUACAUUGACGACGGACUCAAGGAGAUCGCUGACUACUACUACUACUAUUACUAUUUCCUACACUCUAUACUGCUAUGUGUACUAUUAAAUCCUCUAUACUGCUACUAUGUGUACUAUUGAAUCCCUUGUAUAGUAUUUCCAUGACAACUGAUGAGUGAUCCUACUACUACUACUAUUACUAUGACCACUCAAUCCCUGGUAAGUACAAUGUCAUUAU